RNAcentral lists this ribosomal RNA (244 nucleotides) under uncultured bacterium. Its description in RNAcentral is "partial small subunit ribosomal RNA". It matches the Rfam family "Bacterial small subunit ribosomal RNA", at positions 26 to 285 of the family's 1533-position model. The record is from RNAcentral.
AGAACGAACGCUGGCGGCAUGCCUAACACAUGCAAGUCGAACGAGACCGCUGACUUCGGUUGGCGCGUCUAGUGGCGCACGGGUGCGUAACGCGUGGGAAUCUGCCCUUGGGUACGGAAUAACAGUUAGAAAUGACUGCUAAUACCGUAUAAUGACUUCGGUCCAAAGAUUUAUCGCCCAGGGAUGAGCCCGCGUAGGAUUAGCUAGUUGGUGAGGUAACGGCUCACCAAGGCGACGAUCAGUA